Molecule: unclassified non-coding RNA, 254 nt
Filed under: Hevea brasiliensis (rubber tree)
Lineage: Eukaryota; Viridiplantae; Streptophyta; Magnoliopsida; Malpighiales; Euphorbiaceae
Source: RNAcentral
GAUAGGUCAUACGAUGAAUGCCCUUCGUGAGUUGAGAUGUGGUGUUCACUAGAAAUCCUUAACAUAUAGUCUAUAAUGUUGAGAAUCCGUGGGAAGUUAUGCCUAGCACCGAGAGGAUAUGAAGGAGAGGUGGAUUGCACUUCGUGAGUUGAGAUGUUGUAAACCUAUGUACCUCUUGAGAUGAGUACUUCUCAUUAGUAGAGAAUGAGUUGCUUAGUAGCAAUCUCCUUAUCCCAGAUGUAGCUAUGGAAAAG